This 1096-nucleotide long non-coding RNA is filed under the name Oreochromis niloticus (Nile tilapia). Its description in RNAcentral is "lncRNA (ENSONIG00000038480.1)". The record is from RNAcentral. Lineage: Eukaryota; Metazoa; Chordata; Actinopteri; Cichliformes; Cichlidae.
CGUUGAGGCGCCUGUUUCCCUUAACCCUUGUGCGCCCGCCCGCCUGUUCUCGGGGCGUGGGGGCAUGGAGACCCCGAGGGCUGUGUGUGUUUUUUUGAUGAUGAUGUUGUUGAUGUUGAUGAUGAUGAUGAUGAUGGUGAUGAUGAUGGUGAUAGUGAUAGGGUGUGGUGGGGGGUCGCUAGGACCCCUCGGGGCAUAUGUGUUAUGAUGAUGAUAGGGUGUGGUGGGGGGUCGCUAGGACCCCCUCGGGGCAUAUGUGUUAUGAUGAUGAUAGGGUGUGGUGGGGGGUCGCUAGGACCCCCUCGGGGCAUAUGUGUUGUUAUGACGAUGACGAUGAUGAUGAUGAUGAUGAUGAUUAGGGUGGGUGGGGGUCGCUUGUGUUAUUACAACGUCGGCGGCGUCUGGGAAGCGGCGGUGCGUGAAGCGGCGCAGUUGGGACAGUACGUGACGGCGCAGUUGGUGCACACGUACACUCGGCACUCGUGGCACAGGAUCUUGGUCUUGACGUCUUUGCUCCUGGGACACACGCGGCACCUUCGCCUCUUGACCGGAGAGGAGUCGUGCGGCGUAGCGGCGGUGGCGGUGGUGGUGGUGGUACGAGUAGUACGAGUAAUACGAGUAGUACGAGCAGCAGCAGCGGCAUCGGCAUCAGCAUCAUCAGCCUCAGUAGUAGUACCUCGGGCCGCGACUCGGCCUCCUCCUCCUCCUCCUCUCCUCCUCGCGCCAACGCCCUGGCUUCGAUCAUGGGGCACGCGAGCGCUUUGCCCAGCCGCUCGAGGAAGAGCCUUCGUUUGUUGAGCUUGCCCGCCAUCCAGUCGGGGUGAAUUUCCCUCCAGAGCACGAACGCGUUGUAUGCCGCCACGUCCACCAUGUUGUGGAAAAGGGCCACGGGCCACCUGCAGGUCUUUCUCCUGCAGCUGUACGUGCUCACGACCUUGUCCAGGUUGUCGACGCCUCCCUUGGUGCGGUUGUAAUGCAGCACCAAGGGAGGUUUGCCGCCGCCGCCGUUGCUGUUGCUGUUGCUGUUGCUGCUGCUGCGGCUAGGCCGGGGCUCGGGGCCGGAGCGGCUGCGGUGGUGGUGGUGGUGGUGGUAGCG